GGGGGUAUAGCUCAGUGGUAGAGCAUUUGACUGCAGAUCAAGAGGUCCCCGGUUCAAGUCCGGGUGCCCCCU
Transfer RNA from Sus scrofa (pig), 72 nucleotides. It matches the Rfam family "tRNA". From Rfam's summary of the family: Transfer RNA (tRNA) molecules are approximately 80 nucleotides in length. Their secondary structure includes four short double-helical elements and three loops (D, anti-codon, and T loops). The record is from Rfam. Lineage: Eukaryota; Metazoa; Chordata; Mammalia; Artiodactyla; Suidae.